GCAAAUCUCAAUCUAUAAAUCCAUAAAAACCUAUACAUACAAAUUCAUAUAUAUUUAUAUAUAUACACUCAUCGUCUUCCAUUGAUCUAGGGUUUUACUGGAGUUUGUAUCGAUUGCAAUUAUUUAAGGAUCCGACUCUCGAUUUUUCAUCCUCUCUUGGCUCGAGAUCCGAGCCAAGGACGGAGGAAUUCAUUUGCUAGGCGGAGAUUUUCAAGCGUUUCGAACUGCUAUCUCUCUCUUCACUGUUGCCACUCGGUGCGGAGAGGUUCUGUGGAAUGGCGUCGAAUGAGGGAUUUUUGACUGAAGGACAGAGGGAGAUGCUGAAAUUCGCACCGCCGAGUGUGGAUGUUUUGUCAUCUUCUCCGAAGUCACCGACUCUGAAGUCUCCAGGUGCUGCUGCUAAAUCUGCGUCUGUGCUCUUGACGGAACAUCUCGUCAAGGCACCAGGCGGUGGAAAGGCAUCCACGGCUGGGAUUGCUAUGAGACAUGUACGAAGGACGCACUCAGGGAAGCAUAUCCGUGUUAAGAAGGAUGGAGCCGGCGGUAAAGGCACCUGGGGAAGAUGGCUAGAUACUGAUGGUGAAUCUCAUAUCGAUAAGAAUGAUCCCAACUAUGAUAGUGGUGAGGAGCCGUAUGAGCUUGUUGGAACUGCUGUCUCUGAUCCAUUAGACGACUACAAGAAAUCUGUAGCAUCAAUUAUUGAGGAAUACUUCAGCACUGGUGACGUUGAAGUGGCUACUUCUGAUCUCAAGGAAUUGGGUUCAGCCGAGUAUCACCCAUAUUUUAUUAAGAGGCUUGUUUCUAUGUCAAUGGAUAGGCAUGAUAAGGAGAAGGAAAUG
Molecule: unclassified non-coding RNA, 839 nt
Filed under: Hevea brasiliensis (rubber tree)
Lineage: Eukaryota; Viridiplantae; Streptophyta; Magnoliopsida; Malpighiales; Euphorbiaceae
Source: RNAcentral